This 253-nucleotide ribosomal RNA is filed under the name uncultured bacterium. RNAcentral describes it as "partial 16S ribosomal RNA". It matches the Rfam family "Bacterial small subunit ribosomal RNA", at positions 524 to 776 of the family's 1533-position model. The record is from RNAcentral.
UACGGAGGGGGCUAGCGUUGUUCGGAAUUACUGGGCGUAAAGCGCGCGUAGGCGGACUUUUAAGUCAGGGGUGAAAUCCCGGGGCUCAACCCCGGAACUGCCUUUGAUACUGGAAGUCUUGAGUAUGGUAGAGGUGAGUGGAAUUCCGAGUGUAGAGGUGAAAUUCGUAGAUAUUCGGAGGAACACCAGUGGCGAAGGCGGCUCACUGGACCAUUACUGACGCUGAGGUGCGAAAGCGUGGGGAGCAAACAGG